This 484-nucleotide ribosomal RNA is filed under the name uncultured bacterium. Its description in RNAcentral is "partial 16S ribosomal RNA". It matches the Rfam family "Bacterial small subunit ribosomal RNA", at positions 30 to 507 of the family's 1533-position model. The record is from RNAcentral.
AUUGAACGCUGGCGGCAGGCCUAACACAUGCAAGUCGAGCGGAUGAAGGGAGCUUGCUCCUGGAUUCAGCGGCGGACGGGUGAGUAAUGCCUAGGAAUCUGCCUGGUAGUGGGGGAUAACGUCCGGAAACGGGCGCUAAUACCGCAUACGUCCUGAGGGAGAAAGUGGGGGAUCUUCGGACCUCACGCUAUCAGAUGAGCCUAGGUCGGAUUAGCUAGUUGGUGGGGUAAAGGCCUACCAAGGCGACGAUCCGUAACUGGUCUGAGAGGAUGAUCAGUCACACUGGAACUGAGACACGGUCCAGACUCCUACGGGAGGCAGCAGUGGGGAAUAUUGGACAAUGGGCGAAAGCCUGAUCCAGCCAUGCCGCGUGUGUGAAGAAGGUCUGCGGAUUGUAAAGCACUUUAAGUUGGGAGGAAGGGCAGUAAGUUAAUACCUUGCUGUUUUGACGGUACCAACAGAAUAAGCACCGGCUAACUUCGUG